GUCAUUGGUGUCCCCAUGUCCCCGUACCCCAAUUUUGGCGUCCCCAUUGUCCCCUUUUCCCCAUCCCCAACACCCCACAGACCUUGGUGCCCCAUUCCCGGUGUCAUUGAUGUCCCCAUGUCCCCGUACCCCAACUUUGGUGUCAUUGGUGUCCCCAUGUCCCUGUACCCCAAUUUUGGUGUCCCCACAUCCUCGUACCCCAACUUUGGUGUCAUUGGUGUCCCCAUGUCCCUGUACCCCAAUUUUGGUGUCCCCACAUCCUCGUACCCCAAUUUUGGUGUCAUUGGUGUCCCCAUUGUCCCCAUUGUCCCCAUUGUCCCCCUUGUCCCCAUUGUCCCCCUUCCUCCAUCCCCAACAC
RNAcentral lists this long non-coding RNA (358 nucleotides) under Anas platyrhynchos platyrhynchos (common mallard). Its description in RNAcentral is "lncRNA (ENSAPLG00000025435.1)". Lineage: Eukaryota; Metazoa; Chordata; Aves; Anseriformes; Anatidae. The record is from RNAcentral.